Molecule: unclassified non-coding RNA, 685 nt
Filed under: Homo sapiens (human)
Lineage: Eukaryota; Metazoa; Chordata; Mammalia; Primates; Hominidae
Description: major histocompatibility complex, class I, F (ENSG00000234487.11)
Source: RNAcentral
UGCGGGGACCGGCUAGGGUCUCACACCCUCCAGGGAAUGAAUGGCUGCGACAUGGGGCCCGACGGACGCCUCCUCCGCGGGUAUCACCAGCACGCGUACGACGGCAAGGAUUACAUCUCCCUGAACGAGGACCUGCGCUCCUGGACCGCGGCGGACACCGUGGCUCAGAUCACCCAGCGCUUCUAUGAGGCAGAGGAAUAUGCAGAGGAGUUCAGGACCUACCUGGAGGGCGAGUGCCUGGAGUUGCUCCGCAGAUACUUGGAGAAUGGGAAGGAGACGCUACAGCGCGCAGAUCCUCCAAAGGCACACGUUGCCCACCACCCCAUCUCUGACCAUGAGGCCACCCUGAGGUGCUGGGCCCUGGGCUUCUACCCUGCGGAGAUCACGCUGACCUGGCAGCGGGAUGGGGAGGAACAGACCCAGGACACAGAGCUUGUGGAGACCAGGCCUGCAGGGGAUGGAACCUUCCAGAAGUGGGCCGCUGUGGUGGUGCCUUCUGGAGAGGAACAGAGAUACACAUGCCAUGUGCAGCACGAGGGGCUGCCCCAGCCCCUCAUCCUGAGAUGGGAGCAGUCUCCCCAGCCCACCAUCCCCAUCGUGGGCAUCGUUGCUGGCCUUGUUGUCCUUGGAGCUGUGGUCACUGGAGCUGUGGUCGCUGCUGUGAUGUGGAGGAAGAAGAGCUCAG